Molecule: ribosomal RNA, 216 nt
Filed under: Glomeromycotina sp.
Lineage: Eukaryota; Fungi; Glomeromycota
Description: partial small subunit ribosomal RNA
Rfam family: Eukaryotic small subunit ribosomal RNA (bases 40-216)
Source: RNAcentral
GGGUCAGUAGGUUGGUCGUGCCACCGGUACGUACUGGUCUCACUGAUUCCUCCUUCCUGAAGAACCGUAAUGCCAUUAAUUUGGUGUUGCGGGGAGACAGGACUGUUACUUUGAAAAAAUUAGAGUGUUUAACGCAAGCUAACGCUUGAAUACAUUAGCAUGGAAUAAUGAAAUAGGACGAUCGAUCCUAUUUUGUUGGUUUCUAGGAUUGACGUA